Molecule: long non-coding RNA, 7728 nt
Organism: Salvelinus fontinalis (brook trout)
Lineage: Eukaryota; Metazoa; Chordata; Actinopteri; Salmoniformes; Salmonidae
Exons: 6
Source: RefSeq, a predicted model, not a curated record
CCGGAAAUGUGUCGCAUAUAACGUGUUUCCUUGUGUACAUGCGUAGCGGGAUUUCACACAGAUGUGAAAAAACAAGUUUGGUUUCCACGAUUAUUUCGCCUUUUUGAUAGCCAUUUACUAAAUAAUCAAGUAAUUUAUUGUUUUAUUAGCUAAUAUUAGUUGCUGCCAUAGCCAGCUAGUUGGCUACUACUGUAGCUAACGUUAGCAUUGGAUUACUAUUUGACAACUAGCUGACGUUACUUAGCUGUAGUGUGAAGUCAACUUCAGUUGCCACUUUGCCAAUGUAGCUAACAUGCUGGUGUGUUAAAAGGAGCAAUGUCAGUGGAAUAGGUAGUUUUCCAUCGUAUUGUUAACAUACAGCUACCAUUUUUACUUAGGAAAGUAAGCUAGCCAACUAUAGACAGACAUGGAGAGUCAAACCCAUGCGAAGAAAUCGUCUGCACCCAUUGUGUCCCAAAUCAACGCAGAAUAUGUCACAGGUAACUAAACUCAGCAAAAAUAAUAAACGUCAUCGCACUGUCAACUGCGUUUAUUUUCAGAAAACUUAACUUGUAAAUAUUUGUAUAAACAUAACAAGUAGCCUAGUGGUUAGAGCUUUGGACUAGUAACUGAAAGGUUGCAAGAUCGAAUCCCAGAGCUGACAAGGUAAACAUCUGUCAUUCUGCCCCUGAACAAGGCAGUUAAACCACUGUUCCUAGGCAGUCAUUGAAUAUAAUAAUUUCUUCUUAAAACUGACUUGCCUAGUUAAAUAAAGUUUUUUUAUUUUUAUUUAAAUAGACAUAAACUGAAAAGUGUUCUACAGACAUGUGACUAACAGAAAUGGAAUAAUGUGUCCCGAACAAAGGGGGUCAAUAAUCAAAAGUAAGAGUCAGUAUCUGGUGUGGCCACCAGCUGCAUUAAGUACUGCAGUGCAUCUCCUCAUGGACUUUAACAGAUUUGCUAGUUCUUGCUGUGAGAUGUUACCCCAUUCUUCCACCAAGGCACCUGCAAGUUCCCGGACAUUUCUGGGGGGGAAUGGCCCUAACCCUAACCCUCUGAUCCAACAGGUCCCAGACGUGCUAAAUGGGAUUGAGAUCCGGGCUCUUUGCUGGCUAUGGCAGAACACUGACAUUCCUCUCUUGCAGGAAAUCAUGCACAGAAUGAGCAGUAUGGCUGGUGGCAUUGUCAUGCUGGAGGGUCAUGUCAGGAUGAGCCUGCAGGAAGGGUACCACAUGACGGAGGAGGAUGUCCCCUCUGUAACUCACAGCAUUGAGAUUGCCUGCAAUGACAACAAGCUCAAUCCGAUGAUGCUGUGACACACGGCCCCAGACCAUGACUGACCCUCCACCUCCAAAUCGAUCCUGCUCCAGAGUAUAGGCCUCGGUGUAACGCUCAUUCCUUUGACGAUAACUGCGAAUCCGACCAUCACCCCUGGUGAGACAAAACCGCAACCCGUCAGUGAAGAACACUUUUUGCCAGUCCUGUCUGGUCCAGCGACGGUGAGUUUGUGCCCAUAGGCGACGUUGUUGCCGGUGAUGUCUGGUGAGGACCUGCCUUACAACAGGCCUACAAGCUCUCAGUCCAGCCUCUCUCACCCUAUUGCGGACAGUCUGAGCACUGAUGGAGGGAUUGUGCGUUCCUGGUGUAACUCGGGUAGUUGUUGUUGCCAUCCUGUACCUGUCCCGCAGGUGUGAUGUUCAGAUGUACUGAUCCUGUGCAGGUGUUGUUACACGUGGUCUGCCACUGAGGAUGAUCAGCUGUCCGUCCUGUCUCCCUGUAGCGCUGUCUUAGGCGUCUCACAGUACGGACAUUACAAUUUAUUGCCCUGGCCACAUCUGCAGUCCUCAUUGCCUAAGGCACAUUCACGCAGAUGGGCAGGGAUCCUGGGCAUCUUUCUUUUGGUGUUUUUCAGAGUCAGUAGAAAGGCCUCUUUAGUAUCCUAAGUUUUCAUAACUGUGACCUUAAUUGCCUACCGUCUGUAAGCUGUUAGUGUCUUAUCGACCGUUCCACAGGUGCAUGUUCAGUAAUUGUUUACGGUUCAUUGAACAAGUGUGGGAAACAGUGUUUAAACCCUUUACAAUGAAGAUCUGUGAGGUUAUUUGGAUUUUUAAGAAUUAUCUUUGAAAGACAGGAUUCUGAAAAAGGGACGUUAUUUUUUUUGAUGAGUUUAUAGGAAAAUUAUAUUUUUUAUUGCUUUAUAUGAGUGUCUCAAGCGAUAGAUCUGGAAGCACUCUGAAUCCAGUCCAGCCAUCCUGCACUCUCAGAGUUUGAUCUUGUUCAGAACAGCCAACUUGUACCGCCUUUCAAUGAAAAAGAGGUGGAUGUAUAUUUUACUCUGUUUGAACGGAUUGCUAACGUUUCAUCCCUAAAAUGGCUGCGAGAUAUUUGGUAACUGCUCCACCAAAGUGGUGUUGUGGGAAAGGCUCAAGUGUAGGCAGCUUUAUCUCUUGACCAGAGUUCAGAUUAUGACACUUAAAGCUUCUUGUUGGGGAACGUAACAAAUUGGGACUCGUUCGGGUUCUUGUUUACCAUGAGUAUGGUAAUUACUCUAAUCACCUACUCUAAAGCUCUGCUGUGUCCAGAUAUUUGAGUGUUCAGAAGACACUUUUGUGGUAGAGUUUCUGUCAUUGAUAUCCACCUGAGGGGUUCUAAGCUUGGGGGAAUCAUUUUGAGAGUUUCAUAAACACACAGGCUAAUAAAACAAAGCCAUGGACUUAGAUGCAUUUGUGUUAAACCUUACAUGGGAGAUGCUAGAUAAAUGUACAACGGAAAAUCUGCACAUCGCAAAGCAUUAUGACAUCAAGGUGAUAUCUGGCAAUCCAAAAGCAGAAGUCAAAGGAGGAAAUCCUUCCAGAGAGGGAGGUUGAUGAAAAGGGUCCUAUGGGUAGUAGGGUGAGUCCUGUAGAUGUACAACUGCGAGAGUUAGAACUAAAGGCAAAAUGGGAACAGAAGUUAGAACUUGAGCACAAGGAAAGGGAAGAGGAAUGUGAGCAUGCCAUUCAAUGAAGAACAAUAGAUCUGGAAGCACUCUGAAUCGAGUCCAGCCAUCCUACACAGCCAACUUGUACCGCCUUUCAAUUAAAAAAUUGUUGGAUGUAUAUUUGACUCUGAGCGGAUCACUACAUCCCUAAAAUGGCUGCAAGAUAUUUGGUCACUGCUCCACCAAAGUGCUGUUGUGGGAAAGGCUCAAGAAGUGUAGGCCGCUUUAUCUCUUGACCAGAGUUCAGAUUAUGACACUUAAAGCUUCUAUACAUUUUUUUGUCAUUUAGCAGACGCUCUUUUCCAGAGCGACUUACAGUAGAGUGCAUACAUUUUAUUACAUUUUACAUACUGAGACAAGGAUAUCCCUACCGGCCAAACCCUCCCUAACCUGGACGACGCUAUGACAAUUGUGCGUCGCCCCACGGACCUCCCGGUUGCGGCCGGCUGCGACAGAGCCUGGGCGCGAACUCAGCCCAGCCUGGGCGCGAACCCAGAGACUCUGGUGGCGCAGCUAGCACUGCGAUGCAGUGCCCUAGACCACUGCGCCACCCGGGAGGCCAAGUCAACACCUACUGCAAGGUUUGUCCAUUUCUACAGUGCCCAAAGAUAAAGAUCGGCUGAACAGAUUUUUCAUGUCCGCCAGUUUGUCAUUACUGCCAUGAGAAAGGACACAUUGUCUCUGUUGAAACAGAAACAUUUGAGAGAUAAAAGGACGUUUUUUCGUGUGGGAGCACUCCAGCCCAUUAAGUCUCUGGUUGGGAUUGGCGUAUUUCCUAAACAAGAUUUUGGAUCAGAUGUGUAUGAACCCUUUGUUUCAUACAGGUUUGUGUCUCUGCAGAGUGGCGAUGCUGUUAUGCAGCCAACGAAGAUACUGCGAGACACUGGGGCAGCCCAGUCCUUCAUUUUGGAGGGUGUUUUUCCUUUGUCUAACAUUUCAGCAACUGGUUACAGUGUGUUAGUACAAGGCGUAACAAGCACAGACAAUUUAACCAACCUUAGCGAUGCAGUCUUCGUUCUCGAUUCGGGGAAACAGGAGUCUCGUAAAAUGUCCAUGCCCAGUUGCAGGGGGUCAGUUUCAAUUUUAAAAAAAUGCUCCGUUACAACAUUCUUGUUGAAUAACCAGUUCUCUUGAGUUAGCUUUAAAUAGUGUAUACUCCCCUGUAUUUUUGAAUUUGACAAACAUUAUUUGGAUAUCUAAAUAUUUGAAUAUCUAAAUGUCUGAAACUACAGAGCCCUGUACAGUUUAUAGAAAUAUCUUCUGCGAAUCCAUAAGGGCAGACAAAUUUCAAAGAUUGAUAGAAAAUAUCCAUAUUUUUUUCUGGUGGUUCUACAUCAAUUGAACCCGGUUCGUGAAGAGCUACCGUUCUCUAGGUUUUCGUGCCCAGGUAUGGGCGAGCAGACAGAGGUACGGAAGCUAUAUUGUUACACUGAUGCUGUUAACCCGGAUCACUGGUUGCUGCGGAAAAGGAGGAGGUCAAAAGGAGGGUGAGUGUAACCGAUGUGAAAUGGCUAGCUAGUUAGCGGGGUGCGCUCUAGUGUUUCAAUCGGUGACGUCACUCGCUCUGAGACCUUGAAGUAAUUGUUCCCCUUGCAGAGGGGCGGCUUUUGUGGAGUGAUGGGUAACAAUGUUUCGAGGGUGGCUGUUGUUGAUGUGUGCAGAGGGUCCCUUGUUCGAGGCAAGGAGAGGGAUGGAAGCUAUACUGUUACACCAGGUUAGUUACAACUGGGGUUGGAGUGAAAACCUACAGGAGGGUAGCUCUCCAGGAACAGGGUUGGAGUCUACAGUGCAUUCGGAAAGUAUUAAGAUCCCUUGACUUUGUCCACAUUUUGUUACGUUACAGCCUUAAUCUACAAUUGAUUAAAUUAAAUAUUUUCCGGGCCUCCCGAGUGGCUCAGUGGUGUAAGGCACUGCCUCGCAGUGCUAGAGGCGUUACUACAGACCCUGGUUCAUUCUUAGGCUGUACCACAAACGGCCGUGGCCGGGAGGCCCAUAGGAAGGCGCACAAUUGGCCCAGCGUCGUCCGGUUAGGGGAGGGUUAGGCCGGUGGGGCUUUACUUGGCUCAUCGAGGUCUAGCGAUUCCUUGUGGCGGGCCGGGUGCCUGCAGGCUGUCCCCGGUCGCCAGUUGGACUGUGUUUCCUCCGACACAUUGGUGCGGCUGGCUUCCGGGUUAGGCUGGCGGGUGUUAAGAAGUGUGGUUAGGCGGGUCAUGUUUAGGAGGACGCAUGACUCCACCUUCGCCUCUCCCGAGCCCGUUGGGGAGUUGUAGCGAUGACACAAAAUUGGCAUAAAAUACAACAAAAAAUAUAUAUAUAUUGAUAAGUCACCUAGUCCUAGAGAGAUUUACACGGUUAUCAAAACGUCAUACAUGAAACACAGCCCUUAUUUGAAGUGUUUACAAAAAAUCGAAGAUUAAUGGUGAAAAAACGAUUAGAACUAUUUCCUUGUUUAACCGCUAGGUGUUAUGGCUCAUAAUGUGGUACUCUAGUCUACAGGUGUGUGUUUUUUACGUCACUGAUUAGUUGAACGAAUUCACGAUUUGGCGGGGUGUCCAGUCACCGGGGUAUACCUACACUUGUGGUGCGUUCAGUUCACUUCAACAUUUGCAAGGUUGCGAGACGGUUUGUGCUGAACAACACGUUUUUGGUGCACACUGUUCUUAAACAGCCUUUGAGGUACGUUAGCCAGCAGAUCCAACCCGCUUGCUUACAGUUGCAAUGUGAUAGGACAGGCUUCCUGUGUUGAUUAACACACAGCAGAGGUGUUGUGAGAUAUGGCUUGGAAAUUGUACUGCAAUCCCAGGAUGAGAAAUGCGUUGUACCCAAAUUGUCCCAUUAUCCCAACUGUUACACCAAGAAGUUUUAACGACUGCUAGUUUAAGUUAACUGACGUUUUCGUCCUCAUGCUAGCUAGCAGUAGCCACAGCAGCCAUUAUGGAAUGGCACGCAGUGUUGAACAACUAAGGAGCUGAUUGGCUGACACUGCCAUUCCAAAAUGGCUGCUGUGGCUUUUGCGACCUAGCAUGAGGACAAAAAGGUCAGUUUUCCGGAGGAACAAUCUUCCUGGUGUAACAGUUGGGAUAAUGUGAUAAUUCAUGGGAAGUAUAUUGCAUUUCUCAUUUCUGGAUUGAGGUGCAUUUUCUGAGCCAUAUCUCGCGCCAGCUAUGCAGUGUCUAAAUCUACAGACUGAACACUGUCCGACCCUAGUGCAGCUGUUAGCAAGCGGGUCGGAUCGGCUGGCUAGAGGUACAUUUGGUGGGUGUGGCCUGAUCAAUAUGGGUGUGACCAAUUGAAAUCGCAAAACUUGUGCAGCACUCCAGGUCAUUGCCCUCUGGGCCACCAUAAUCACAAAGUUUUCCAACUGGUUUUUCAGUACAGUUCUUUUUCGCUGUUGGAGCUAGAAACAAGCAUUUUGAUGCACCUGCGAUAACCUCUGCAAAUAUGUGAAUGCGACCAGUGAACUUUGAAUUUAUUUGAGUUUUGCACAUUGCACACCGUUCUGUUGUACUGAAUGCAACCCUGGCUGGCAUCUUUUGAAUUUCGGGAGGGGUUAAUUUCCCCCAUUGACUUGGCCAAGAUGAUUUCAGAGGAGCUGGUGUUCUCUACCAAAGCAAAUCCCUCCUGGUUCCUCCACUCACUCUGGGACAGACAUCUUAUCAUCACCCCCAGAACAAAAUCUAGUGCACUCACACAAAAUUUGCUUAUGGGAUGCAGAGAUUAAAGUUUUUGUUAUAAUAACCUCUCUCACUUUCUUUUUUAAGUUGGCUAAUAGAUACUGGGCGCCCCAUGUCAAGAACAAACUACCAUUAGACCCAAAGGUCUUGGAGGAUGUCUAUGAGAAAGUGAUUCUAAAGUCCGUGUGAGUGAACUCAACUCUUGAAUAGCAUCAGUAUUUUGUAAUGUUAAAUCUUCUUACCACAAGUUGAAUAAAUGGUUUAACCAAGUCCUCCACGUCUGCUAUUUUAUCUUCCGUUUCGCCAUUAGGAAGAUCAUGUUACUGGAGUUCAGGUGGAUUUUUGAUCCUUUUUAUUGUGGCCUCAAUACAUAAUCAAUGAUAAUAAUUUAUCAUCAGAGAGAACGUCCCUGCCUGUGAGGUAAGAAUGAAUACCCUGGCCUGUCAAACAGAAAUGUUGACCCUUGGUUGUAAAUUUUUGUUUCACAUAGCAAAUACUUAGCUGUGUUAACAAUCAGUAAGUGUGUUGUUGAACAUGCUAUGUUGUGUGUGUUGCGUGUUGGCUGUACAUGGACAGCCCCAGCAAUACAUCUACUUAGGGCAAAUGUCUCCAGCGAGCAUUGAUCAAUGUCUUCUAUAUCAAUGUUGUUUUUAACCCUUGGUUUAUUAUGUGUAUCCAGGUGUUUAAGAAGGUGCCAAACCACUUCCCCUACUUAUUUAAGUGUGUGAUGGAGGAUGUGUCUCUGAAGGAACAGACUGUACUGUUGGUCUUCCUCCACCACUGAUUGGUACAGCCUGGAGGUGGAUUUGAUCAGAGAGCAGGUGCAGCAGCUCAUCUUACUGCCCAUGUGGAUGUGUCUCUUACCAAGGCAAGAUGGAGAGGACAUUCCUUUCUGAGCUCAUUAACAAGUUUUUGGUGGUUCUGAUGUCCGUCUCCCCAGCAGCCCUGUACCCAAGGGGAAGGUCCACUCCUGCGUGAGGUUCAUCGAGCUCAUGAUUCACCUGGAGGCCCUUCUCCUAACACGUCGCUGGUUCAACACAGUGCUGGAUGACUCCCACCUGGUGGUGAUGACUCCCACCUGGUGUCCAGCCUCAU